Long non-coding RNA from Homo sapiens (human), 1029 nucleotides. RefSeq lists it as uncharacterized. The record is from RefSeq and is a predicted model, not a curated record. The transcript has 2 exons. NCBI's taxonomy places the organism in Eukaryota, Metazoa, Chordata, Mammalia, Primates, Hominidae.
GUUUACCUAAGCAAGCCUGGGCAAUGGCGGGCGCCCCUCCCCCAGCCUCGCUGCCGCCUUGCAGUUUGAUCUUAGACUGCUGUGCUAGCAAUCAGCGAGACUCCGUGGGCGGGCGUAGGACCCUCCGAGCCAGGUGCGGGUUAUAAUCUCGUGGUGCGCCGUGUUUUAAGCCUGUCGGAAAAGCGCAGUAUUCGGGUGGGAGUGACCCAAUUUUCCAGGUGCGUCCGUCACCCCUUUCUUUGACUAGGAAAGGGAACUCCCUGACCCCUUGCGCUUCCCGAGUGAGGCCCUCGCCCUGCUUCGGUUCGCGCACGGUGCGCGCACCCACUGGCCUGCGCCCACUGUCUGGCACUCCCUAGGAGAUGAACCCGGUACCUCAGAUGGAAAUGCAGAAAUCACCCGUAUUCUGCGUCGCUCACGCUGGGAGCUGUAGACGGGAGCUGUUCCUAUUCGGCCAUCUUGGCUCCUCCCCCUGAAAAUCAUUUUCUACCAAAACUUUGAAGGCGGUAUUCUGCUGUCUUCCAGCAUACAGGAUUGCUGAUGAGAAGUCUAUCAGUCUGAUUCUCAUUCCAAUAUGGAGUCUCGCUCUGUCAUGCUGGAGUGUGGUGGCGCAAUCUCGGUUCACUGCAAGCUCCGCCUCCUGGGUUCACGCCAUUCUCCUGCCUCAGCCUCCCAAGUAGCUGGAACUACAGGCACCCGCCACCACGCCCAGCUAAUUUUUUGUAUUUUUAGUAGAGACGGGGUUUCACCAUGUUAGCCAGGAUGGUCUCAAUCUCCUGACCUCGUGAUCCACCCGCCUUGGCCUCCCAAAGUGCUGGGAGUACAGGCAUGAGCCACCGCACCUGGCCAAAUUAUUGAUAUUUUUUAAGAAAAGUAACAGAAUAGAUUUGAUAGAGAUACUGUUUCUCUUAAUACCAAAGGAAAACUAAAAUAAUAAUCCCAGUGUACUUUUCUUUGUUCCCUCAUGUUUUUUUCAAUCUAUACACUAACAUACCUAGCAGCAAAUUAAAGUUUUACUUCAACUCGAAA